RNAcentral lists this transfer RNA (73 nucleotides) under Trigonectes rubromarginatus. Its description in RNAcentral is "tRNA-Asn". It matches the Rfam family "tRNA". From Rfam's summary of the family: Transfer RNA (tRNA) molecules are approximately 80 nucleotides in length. Lineage: Eukaryota; Metazoa; Chordata; Actinopteri; Cyprinodontiformes; Rivulidae. The record is from RNAcentral.
UAGACAGAUGCCCAUCGGUUGGGGCGUUUAACUGUUAAUUAAAAGUUUGUAGGAUCGAAGCCUUCCUGUCUAG